UACGAAGGGUGCAAGCGUUGUUCGGAUUUAUUGGGCGUAAAGCGCGCGCAGGCGGGUUCGUAAGUCAGGUGUGAAAUCUCGGGGCUCAACUCCGAAACUGCGCCUGAAACUGUGAACCUAGAAUCUCGGAGGGGGAAGGAGAAUUUCGCAUGUAGGGGUAAAAUCCGUAGAGAUGCGAAGGAAUAUCAGAGGCGAAGGCGCCUUCCUGGACGAGUAUUGACGCUGAGGCGCGAAAGCGUGGGGAGCAAACAGG
Molecule: ribosomal RNA, 253 nt
Filed under: uncultured bacterium
Lineage: Bacteria
Description: partial 16S ribosomal RNA
Rfam family: Bacterial small subunit ribosomal RNA
Source: RNAcentral